UCUCCGUAGGUGAACCUGCGGAGGGAUCAUUACAGAGUUCAUGCCCUCCGGGUAGAUCUCCCACCCAUUGCUAUCACUACUCUCGUUGCUUUGGCGGGCCGCUGGGCCCUGCCCGGCCGCCGGCCCCGGCUGGCGCGCGCCCGCCAGAGACCUCACAGACUCUGAAUGUUAGUGUCGUCCGAGUAACUAUAUAAUCGUUAAAAUUUUCAACAACGGAUCUCUUGGUUCUG
RNAcentral lists this unclassified non-coding RNA (230 nucleotides) under plant metagenome. RNAcentral's name for it is "partial contains small subunit ribosomal RNA, internal transcribed spacer 1, and 5.8S ribosomal RNA". The record is from RNAcentral.